Molecule: transfer RNA, 71 nt
Filed under: Heterocephalus glaber (naked mole-rat)
Lineage: Eukaryota; Metazoa; Chordata; Mammalia; Rodentia; Bathyergidae
Rfam family: tRNA
About the family: Transfer RNA (tRNA) molecules are approximately 80 nucleotides in length. Their secondary structure includes four short double-helical elements and three loops (D, anti-codon, and T loops).
Source: Rfam by way of RNAcentral
GGGCAUGCAGCUCUGGUAGAGCAUAUGCUUAAUGUACAUAAGGCCCUGGGUUCAAAUCCCUGGUAUCCCCA